UUUGGAAGUCCUUAGGAACCACAAGCUGGGGAGAUGUGGGGUCCAACAAAUAGAGAGACAAAAACCAGACGGGGAGUGUGUUGAACAGAGGUGAGGUGGGAUGUGCGGAAAAGCAGAGGCUGAAGGUUGAUGCUCUUUGAUCUCCCGCCAUCUCAGUUUGGCUCAAAGUCAUCGUCCUUAUUCGAGCAGCGUGCUGAAAAGUGGGUCAAGGAGAAGCGCUGGCAAACUGGAAAGAGAUUUUUGAGAUUAAUUACAUUGUAGGGAUGUCAAUUCUGUCAACUGUGCUUUAGCAAAAUGCUGUUUGGUGUUAUUGAUGUCAAACAUGGCGCAACAUGUCUAGAUGGAGCAUAUUUGCGUCUGAUAUUUUAUAGGAAUGAGAUUGGAGAGCUGCACUAGAGGGCAAACUUUUUUUAUAAUUUUAGUUUGUUGUCAUCUUGAAUGUGGUGCAUUAUAACCAGUGUUGGGUAAUUUACUCUCAAAAGUAAUUAAUUACUAGUUACUAAUUACAUAUUCGAUAGUGUAAUUAGAUUACUGUACAAAUUACUCUCUCCAAAAAGUAUGUAGUUACUUAUUACUAAUUACUUUCUAUAUCCUAUAUCCACCUUGAUUAGUUAAGCGAUUGAAGGAUAGACAUGAAAGGGCUCUUUUAAUUCAUUCAAAUAAAUAAUAUUAAACUACAUAAAGUACUCUUAUUAACUGACCAAAGUAUUACAAAUGUGAGCAUUAUACGUUAAAGCACAGAUUUUAAAGUUAGACUUUGAAUUUUGAUGUCAAUUCCACUAUUGCACACACAUAUAAUACACAAAGUAUUUAGUUUAAUUACAUCAAAAGUAACUGUAAUUAAAUUACAGAAAAAAUAAGUUAUCCCUUACUUAAUUUUUCAAGGGAAAUGUAAUUAAAUUACAGUAACUAAU
Molecule: long non-coding RNA, 914 nt
Organism: Triplophysa rosa
Lineage: Eukaryota; Metazoa; Chordata; Actinopteri; Cypriniformes; Nemacheilidae
Exons: 3
Source: RefSeq, a predicted model, not a curated record